GGGGGUGCAGCUCAGUGGCAGAGCACAUGCAUUGCAUACAUUUGGACUUGGAUUCAAUUUCCAACGCCACAG
This 72-nucleotide transfer RNA is filed under the name Fukomys damarensis (Damara mole-rat). It matches the Rfam family "tRNA". From Rfam's summary of the family: Transfer RNA (tRNA) molecules are approximately 80 nucleotides in length. Their secondary structure includes four short double-helical elements and three loops (D, anti-codon, and T loops). Further hydrogen bonds mediate the characteristic L-shaped molecular structure. tRNAs have two regions of fundamental functional importance: the anti-codon, which is responsible for specific mRNA codon recognition, and the 3' end, to which the tRNAs corresponding amino acid is attached (by aminoacyl-tRNA synthetases). tRNAs cope with the degeneracy of the genetic code in two manners: having more than one tRNA (with a specific anti-codon) for a particular amino acid; and 'wobble' base-pairing, i.e. permitting non-standard base-pairing at the 3rd anti-codon position. Lineage: Eukaryota; Metazoa; Chordata; Mammalia; Rodentia; Bathyergidae. The record is from Rfam by way of RNAcentral.